AGAGAGAGAGAGAGAGAGAGAACGGGCGAGCGGCGCGCGUCAGCCCAGCUGGGCGCGAGAGGCCAAAGUGGCCGGGUGGCGGCAGCGGGCUCCCAACUUGCAGGCUCCGGUCCCCUGCCCCCAUCGAGCGGCCUCCCGCCGAGCCCCCGCGGACCCGCCCCCCCGGGCUCGCUCCGGGCGGGGCGCGAACCCGCAGCCCGCGCGGCCGCUCAACUUCGCAGGGCCUAGGCGGCAGCGGCGACAGCAAGCUCGGUGGCCGAGUCUGAGCCUCCACCGCAACCGGUGGCUCCGGCCUCUCCGGCGCUUCGCCUGGGGAGGCACCGCCGCCCGACCCCCUGCGCGGAUCUGGGGAGCGUCCUGAGGCCGCUCGACAGACAAGAUUAGACCUCAGACUUGCCAUGUAACAAAGGAUGACUUUAGAACUUUUGCUCUUCCUGUCUCCAUCUCCCAAGUGCUUGGAUUCUAGCCACCAUACCUUCAUUAUAGUACUGGGGAUUCAAACCAGAGCAAACAAGCUGACAACUAAGUUUCCUUUCUGUUGUGAGAAAUACCAUAACCAAAAGCAACAUGAGGAGGAGAGACUGAUUUGGAUUGUUCCUGAUCAUGGUUGAUCAUUGAAGGAAGUCAGAACAGAAACUCAGAAGCAGGCAGGAACCAUGAUGGAAAGCAGUCUGCCUGGCUUGCUCAACUUUCUUUCUUAGCCACCUGUCCAGGGGUAAGUGGAUGGGCCCUUCCACAGCAUCUUUAAUCAAGGAAAUGUACCCAAACCCCACAACAUCUAAUAAAAAAGCCAUGCCAUGGUUCUCACAGCUUUAAUUUUAGGGUUCAGAAGGCAAAGCAGGUAGAUCUCUAUGAGUUCCAGGCUAGCUAAGGCCUGUCUCAAAAAACCCAGACUAAAACAAAACAAAAAGAAAGAAAAUGUCCUGCAGACAUGCCCAUAGACCACACUGAUGGAGGCAGUUCCUUAGCUGAGUUUCUUCCUCCCAGGGUUGUAUAGGUCUCUGUGGAGUUGGCAGAAACGAACCAGCACAGUGGCCUCAGGUGGGUUCUUUGAGUUGAUUUUACGUUUUGGGUGUUGUUUGUCCUGAGCCAUUGGCUGUGCUUUGGCCAACUCUAUUUGUUUCCUACACAGUUUAAAUACAACAAAUUAAACACCAGUCUUGCCCUUCAAAAUAAUUUCCUACACAGCAGCUAACUUUGAAACAGAUGAGAAGAGUUUCCUACGCAGUGCUUUAGUUGUUUUUCUCUGGAGGGGAUAUUAAUAACCAGCACUUCCUUUUGUAUUUUUCAUUUGCAAAUAAUGACUUUAAA
Mus caroli (Ryukyu mouse) is the source of this 1311-nucleotide non-coding RNA. Lineage: Eukaryota; Metazoa; Chordata; Mammalia; Rodentia; Muridae. The record is from RefSeq and is a predicted model, not a curated record.